RNAcentral lists this ribosomal RNA (414 nucleotides) under uncultured Acidobacteriota bacterium. RNAcentral describes it as "bacterial SSU rRNA". It matches the Rfam family "Bacterial small subunit ribosomal RNA", at positions 20 to 421 of the family's 1533-position model. Lineage: Bacteria; Pseudomonadati; Acidobacteriota. The record is from RNAcentral.
UGGCUCAGAAUCAACGCUGGCGGCGUGCCUAACACAUGCAAGUCGAACGCGAAAGUGGAGCAAUCCAUGAGUAGAGUGGCAAACGGGUGAGUAACACGUGGGCGACCUACCUCUGAGUGGGGGAUAACCUUCCGAAAGGAGGGCUAAUACCGCAUGACAUCCCGUGUUUGGAUACACGGACAUCAAAGCCGGGGAUCGCAAGACCUGGCGCUUAGAGAGGGGCCCGCGUCCGAUUAGCUAGUUGGUGAGGUAACGGCUCACCAAGGCUCCGAUCGGUAUCCGGCCUGAGAGGGCAGACGGACACACUGGAACUGAGACACGGUCCAGACUCCUACGGGAGGCAGCAGUGGGGAAUUGUUCGCAAUGGGCGCAAGCCUGACGACGCAACGCCGCGUGGAGGAUGAAGACUUUCGG